This 402-nucleotide ribosomal RNA is filed under the name uncultured bacterium. Its description in RNAcentral is "bacterial SSU rRNA". It matches the Rfam family "Bacterial small subunit ribosomal RNA", at positions 355 to 774 of the family's 1533-position model. The record is from RNAcentral.
UGGGGAAUAUUGGACAAUGGGCGCAAGCCUGAUCCAGCCAUGCCGCGCGAGUGAUGAAGGCCUUAGGGUUGUAAAGCUCUUUUAGCAGGGAAGAUAAUGACGGUACCUGCAGAAAAAGCCCCGGCUAACUUCGUGCCAGCAGCCGCGGUAAUACGAAGGGGGCUAGCGUUGCUCGGAAUUACUGGGCGUAAAGCGCACGUAGGCGGACUCUUAAGUCGGUGGUGAAAUCCUGGAGCUCAACUCCAGAACUGCCUUCGAUACUGGGAGUCUUGAGUUCGGGAGAGGUGAGUGGAACUGCGAGUGUAGAGGUGAAAUUCGUAGAUAUUCGCAAGAACACCAGUGGCGAAGGCGGCUCACUGGCCCGAUACUGACGCUGAGGUGCGAAAGCGUGGGGAGCAAACA